RNAcentral lists this ribosomal RNA (404 nucleotides) under Actinomycetes bacterium. RNAcentral describes it as "Actinobacteria bacterium partial 16S ribosomal RNA". It matches the Rfam family "Bacterial small subunit ribosomal RNA", at positions 355 to 776 of the family's 1533-position model. Lineage: Bacteria; Bacillati; Actinomycetota; Actinomycetes. The record is from RNAcentral.
UGGGGAAUAUUGGACAAUGGGCGCAAGCCUGAUCCAGCCAUGCCGCGUGAGUGAUGAAGGCCCUAGGGUUGUAAAGCUCUUUCACCGGUGAAGAUAAUGACGGUAACCGGAGAAGAAGCCCCGGCUAACUUCGUGCCAGCAGCCGCGGUAAUACGAAGGGGGCUAGCGUUGUUCGGAUUUACUGGGCGUAAAGCGCACGUAGGCGGACUUUUAAGUCAGGGGUGAAAUCCCGGGGCUCAACCCCGGAACUGCCUUUGAUACUGGAAGUCUUGAGUAUGGUAGAGGUGAGUGGAAUUCCGAGUGUAGAAGUGAAAUUCGUAGAUAUUCGGAGAAACACCAGUGGCGAAGGCGGCUCACUGGACCAUUACUGACGCUGAGGUGCGAAAGCGUAGGGAGCAAACAGG